AUUGAACGCUGGCGGCAGGCCUAACACAUGCAAGUCGAGCGGAUGAAGGGAGCUUGCUCCUGGAUUCAGCGGCGGACGGGUGAGUAAUGCCUAGGAAUCUGCCUGGUAGUGGGGGAUAACGUCCGGAAACGGGCGCUAAUACCGCAUACGUCCUGAGGGAGAAAGUGGGGGAUCUUCGGACCUCACGCUAUCAGAUGAGCCUAGGUCGGAUUAGCUAGUUGGUGGGGUAAAGGCCUACCAAGGCGACGAUCCGUAACUGGUCUGAGAGGAUGAUCAGUCACACUGAAACUGAGACACGGUCCAGACUCCUACGGGAGGCAGCAGUGGGGAAUAGUGGACAAGGGGCGAAAGCCUGAUCCAGCCAUGCCGCGUGUGAAGAAGGUCUUCGGAUUGUAAAGCACUUUAAGUUGGGAGGAAGGGCAGUAAGUUAAUACCUUGCUGUUUUGACGUUACCAACAGAAUAAGCACCGGCUAACUUCGUG
RNAcentral lists this ribosomal RNA (482 nucleotides) under uncultured bacterium. RNAcentral describes it as "partial 16S ribosomal RNA". It matches the Rfam family "Bacterial small subunit ribosomal RNA", at positions 30 to 507 of the family's 1533-position model. The record is from RNAcentral.